ACACACCCGUGUCACAGGCCGUGUGGACAUUCGAAAUGGAAUCACAUGGCCGUGUCCCAGUUCGUGUCCGACCCCGUGUAACUCUCUGACUUGGGUCACACGGCCAACCACACGCCCGUGUGCCCUUCGAAAUUGCCUCCCACACCCGUGUGUUAGGCUGUGUGCUAGGCCAUGCCAAACCUGUAGGGUAUACUAACUUAUGCCACACGGCUGAGUCACACACCCGUGUGUUG
This 233-nucleotide long non-coding RNA is filed under the name Gossypium barbadense (sea-island cotton). RNAcentral's name for it is "long non-coding RNA (GBAR_LNC012325)". Lineage: Eukaryota; Viridiplantae; Streptophyta; Magnoliopsida; Malvales; Malvaceae. The record is from RNAcentral.